UGGGGAAUAUUGCACAAUGGGCGCAAGCCUGAUGCAGCCAUGCCGCGUGUAUGAAGAAGGCCUUCGGGUUGUAAAGUACUUUCAGCGGGGAGGAAGGGAGUAAAGUUAAUACCUUUGCUCAUUGACGUUACCGGCCGAAGAAGCACCGGCUAACUCCGUGCCAGCAGCCGCGGUAAUACGGAGGGUGCAAGCGUUAAUCGGAAUUACUGGGCGUAAAGCGCACGCAGGCGGUUUGUUAAGUCAGAUGUGAAAUCCCCGGGCUCAACCUGGGAACUGCAUCUGAUACUGGCAAGCUUGAGUAUCGUAGAGGGGGGUAGAAUUCCAGGUGUAGCGGUGAAAUGCGUAGAGAUCUGGAGGAAUACCGGUGGCGAAGGCGGCCCCCUGGACGAAGACUGACGCUCAGGUGCGAAAGCGUGGGGAGCAAACAGG
Molecule: ribosomal RNA, 429 nt
Filed under: Chloroflexota bacterium
Lineage: Bacteria; Bacillati; Chloroflexota
Description: Chloroflexi bacterium partial 16S ribosomal RNA
Rfam family: Bacterial small subunit ribosomal RNA
Source: RNAcentral